UCUUUGAUUUAAAAUCGACAAUCAACAUCCUGUCCCAAAGCAUGACAUAUAGAUGUCAUGAAAAUAUUUAACUAUUAAGUAAAACUUUAAAUACUUGAAUCAACUAUUUCCAAAAUUACUCGAGGCGGCCAUUCGACUUUCCACGCGUCUCCAACUGCAAUAACCUGAAAUGUUAAUAAUGGGAUGAGCAUACAUUGUAUACUCAAUGUGGGAACAUGCAAUUAUUGUCCACGUUAAUAAAAUGAGACACAUAUGAUCACAUUCUAACUGAAGUCCACGGUGGCAUACCAAGGACCUUUCCGUCCUGGACCGAUUAGCCGCCCCUGGCGACUGGUUGCAACCAUAACUUUAACAUGAAUCGCAUUGUGGCAUACCAAGGAUCUGUCUCCUGGACCAUUCACGGCCCCUAGCGAUAUAAUUAAUGCAACUCACAUAUGGUAAACACAUAAUAUUAAAAUGGACAACAAUUAACCACAGCAUGUACUGAAAUAAAUCCCACACCUGAAACUUGAAUUUGAUAAUUUAACUUUGAAAGUUCAAAUCAAAAUCCACGUCCUAGUCGCGCCGCACCUAGUC
Molecule: long non-coding RNA, 576 nt
Filed under: Salvia miltiorrhiza (redroot sage)
Lineage: Eukaryota; Viridiplantae; Streptophyta; Magnoliopsida; Lamiales; Lamiaceae
Description: long non-coding RNA (SMIL_LNC006054)
Source: RNAcentral